This 508-nucleotide ribosomal RNA is filed under the name uncultured bacterium. Its description in RNAcentral is "partial 16S ribosomal RNA". It matches the Rfam family "Bacterial small subunit ribosomal RNA", at positions 28 to 523 of the family's 1533-position model. The record is from RNAcentral.
GACGAACGCUAGCGGCAGGCUUAAUACAUGCAAGUCGAGGGGCAGCAGGUCCCGCAGCAAUGCGGGAUGCUGGCGACCGGCAAACGGGUGCGGAACACGUACAGAACCUUCCUUUAAGUGGGGAAUAGCCCGGGGAAACCCGGAUUAAUACCCCGUAACAUAAUGAAGUGGCAUCACUUUAUUAUUAUAGCAGCAAUGCGCUUGAAGAUGGCUGUGCGGCUGAUUAGGUAGUUGGCGGGGUAACGGCCCACCAAGCCUACGAUCAGUAACUGGUGUGAGAGAACGACCAGUCACACGGGCACUGAGACACGGGCCCGACUCCUACGGGAGGCAGCAGUAAGGAAUAUUGGGCAAUGGACGCAAGUCUGACCCAGCCAUGCCGCGUGUAGGAUGAAGGUCCUCUGGAUUGUAAACUUCUUUUAUCUGGGAAGAAAUCUAUUUUUUCUAAAGUAGUUGACGGUACCAGAUGAAUAAGCACCGGCUAACUCCGUGCCAGCCGCCGCGGUAA